This is a long non-coding RNA of Pseudopipra pipra, 3224 nucleotides long. RefSeq lists it as uncharacterized. NCBI's taxonomy places the organism in Eukaryota, Metazoa, Chordata, Aves, Passeriformes, Pipridae. The transcript is spliced from 6 exons. The record is from RefSeq and is a predicted model, not a curated record.
AAGAAUUCCCUGAGAGCCACAAUCCCUGCCCUGGGAGUUGUUCCCCCCUCCUUGGAAGUAAAAUUCCCCCCUCCGGGAAGAAAUCCGGGCAAACGGAAAGCGAGCGGUUCCCGGCGGUUUCCCGGGAAAAGGGAGGGUGGUGGUGGGGUCAGGAGGGUGGGAAUGUGGUUGCUGAACACCUGGAGAGGUGGGGUGGGAAGAGGGGGAGGAUUUAAGGGGUUGUUCUGGGACCUCAGGACCUUCAAAGCCCAGAACUGGGAGUGAAAACGGGUCGAAACUCCGAAUUCUUGAUGAAAAAAAAGGGGGUUGGAGGGCUUGGGGUCAAAACUGGGAGUGAAAACAGUGGGGUCAGACCCCAAACAGUGGGGUUGGGGUUUAGUUUCCAACCCCAAACUCCAAAUAAUGACAGUGGAUUUAGGUUUUAUUUCCAAACUCCAAAUUUCCAACCCCCAAACUCCAAAUGAAAACAGUGGAUUUAGGUUUUAUUUCCAACCCCAAAACUUCAAACGAAAACAGUGGUUUGUGGAUCAAAUCCCAAAACUCUGAAUGCAGACAGUGAAUUUAAGUUUUAUUUCAAGCCCCAAAGUCCAAAUGAAAUCAGUGGGUUUAGGUUUUAUUUCCAACCCUAAAACUCUAAAUAUCAACAGUGGAUUUAGGUUUUAUUUCCAAACCCAAACUCUAAAUGAAAACAAGGAUUUGUACAUUUUAUUUUCAAUUUCCAAACUCCAAAUGCAAACAGUGGGUUUAGGUUUUGUUUUCAAACCCCAAACUCCAAAUAAUGACAAUGGGUUUAGGUUUUAUUUCCCACCCUGAAACUCUGAAUGCAAACAGUGGGUUUAGGUUUUAUUUCCAAACCCCCAAACUCUAAAUAAAAUCAGUGGUUUAAGGUUUUAUUUCCAAACCCCAAACUCUGAAUGAAAACAGGGGUUUGUGGAUCAAAUCCCAAAACUCUGAAUGAAAACAGGGGUUUGUACAUUUUAUUUUCAUAUUCCAAACUCUGAAUGCAAACAGUGGGUUUAGGUUUUAUUUCCAAACCCCAAAAUUCCAAAUGCAAACAGUGAAUUGAGGUUUUAUUUCCAAACCCCAAACUCCAAAUAAUGACAGUGGGUUUAGGGUUUAUUUCCAACCCUAAACCUCUAAAUAUCAACAGUGGAUUUAGAGUUUAUUUCUAAACCCCAAACUCCAAAUGAAAACAGUGCAUUUAGGUUUUAUUUCCAAACCCCAAAAUUCCAAACGAAAACAGGGGUUUGUGGAUCAAAUCCCAAAAAUCUAAAUGCAAACAGUGGAUUGAGGUUUUAUUUCCAAACCCAAAACUCCAAAUACAAACAGUAGAUUUAGGUUUUAUUUCCAAACCCCAAAGCUCUAAAUGCAAACAGUGCAUUUGGGUUUUAUUUUCCAAACCCCAAACUCCAAAUGCAAACAGUGGGUUUAGGUUUUAUUUUCCAAACCCCAAACUCCAAAUAAUGACAAUGGGUUUAGGUUUUAUUUCCAACCCCAAACUCCAAAUAAUAACAAUGGGUUUAGGUUUUACUUUCCAACCCCAAAACUCCAAAUACAAACAGUGCAUUUAGGUUUUAUUUCCAAAAUUUUAGGUCUUAUUUUUAUCAGAACAACAACUUUUAGGUUUUAUUUUUAUCAGAACAAGAAUUUUUAGGUCUUAUUUUUAUUAGAACACAAACUUUUAGGUCUUAUUAGAACAACUUUUAGGGCUCAUUUCUGUCAGAACAAGAACUUUUGGGGCUUAUUUUUAUUAGAACAAGAAUUUUUAGGUCUUUUUUUUUAUUAGAACAACAACUUUUAGGGCUUAUUUUUUAUCAGCAAAACAACUUUUAGGGCUCAUUUUAAUUAGAACAAGAAUUUUUAGGUCUUAUUUUUAUUAGAACACAAACUUUUAGGUCUUAUUUUUAUCAGAACAAGAACUUUUAGGUCUGAUUUUUAUUAGAACAAGAACUUUUAGAUCUUAUUUUUAUCAGAACAACAACUUUUAGGGCUUAUUUUUAGUAGAACACAAACUUUUAGGUCUUAUUAGAACAACUUUUAGGUCUCAUUUUUGUCAGAACAAGAACUUUUGGGGCUUAUUUUUAUUAGAACAAGAAUUUUUAGGUCUUAUUUUUAUCAGAACAAGAAUUUUUAGGUCUUAUUUUUAUCAGAACAAGAACUUCUGGGUCUCAUUUUUAUCAGAACAAGAACUUUUAGGUCUUAUUUUUAUCAGAACAAGAACUUUUAGAUCUUAUUUUUAUUAGAAUAAGAACUUUUAGGUCUUAUUUUUAUCAGAACAAGAACUUUUAGGUCUUAUUUUUAUUAGAACACAAACUUUUAGGUCUUAUUAGAACAACUUUUAGGGCUCAUUUCUGUCAGAACAAGAACUUUUGGGGCUUAUUUUUAUUAGAACAAGAAUUUUUAGGGCUUAUUUUUAUUAGAACAAGAACUUUUAGGGCUUAUUUUUAUUAGAAAAACAACUUUUAGGUUUUAUUUUUAUCAGAAUAACAACUUUUAGGUGUUAUUUUUAUUAGAACAAGAACUUUUAGGUCUCAUUUUUAUCAGAACAACAACUUUUAGGGCUUAUUUUUAGUAGAACACAAACUUUUAGGUCUUAUUAGAACAACUUUUAGGGCUCAUUUUUGUCAGAACAAGAACUUUUGGGGCUUAUUUUUAUUAGAACAAGAAUUUUUAGGUCUUAUUUUUAUCAGAACAAGAAUUUUUAGGUCUUAUUUUUAUCAGAACAAGAACUUCUGGGUCUCAUUUUUAUCAGAACAAGAACUUUUAGGUCUUAUUUUUAUCAGAACAAGAACUUUUAGAUCUUAUUUUUAUUAGAAUAAGAACUUUUAGGUCUUAUUUUUAUCAGAACAAGAACUUUUAGGUCUUAUUUUUAUUAGAACACAAACUUUUAGGUCUGAUUUUUAUUAGAACAAGAAACUUUUAGGUCUUAUUUUUAUCGGAACAACAACUUUUAGGUCUUAUUUUUAUUAGAAAAACAACUUUUAGGUCUUAUUUUUAUCAGAACAAGAACUUUUAGGUCUCACUUUUAUCAGAACAAGAACUUUUAGGUGUUAUUUUUAUCAGAACAAGAACUUUUAGGUCUCAUUUUUAUUAGAAAAACAACUUUUAGGUCUCAUUUUUGUCUGAACAAGAACUUUUAGUGCCUCCUGGCUGCCCGUGGUGUCCGGAGGUUCCCUCCCUCCCCCCGCAGUGCCCCUCUCCCUGCUCUUCCCCAGGGAUUUCUU